AUCCUGUAGCACCUAGCCAAGCUUUAAAAAUAACACAAAAUUCUCCACCUAUGUCCACUUCCGCGCCACAGCGACAUUCCAAAUUACAGCUAGCUGCAGCGGCCGCUGUCCCGCUCGGCGCGGCCCGAUGCCCAGCUGUCUCCGUCUGACAUAUUUUCAAGUGUGUUUCCAGCAGGCACCCUGUGCUGUGACAGAGCACGAAGCAGAAACAUCACAGACGGCUGGUCUGUAGUCACAAAUAACGGUGAAGUUCCGCCUGCAUCCAGCACUGAGAUCCAGCUGUGUUUUUGUGAAGGUGUACCAUGCAGAAGGAAUCCGGCAUCUACCAGGACGCCUCACCCAAGUCAGGACAGUCAUGUCCCGGAAAUGUCGUCCCGGGCGUCCCAGGGGGCCUGGCAUAGGCUCCGGCGGUGGCACCGUCUCUGGGACGCGGCGGCCAUGUGGGGAACAGUCCCUCUCCGGGAGCGUUAUCGGAAGCAGGCGCGCGGAAGCGGAAAAAAAAUAAAACACGACAUUAAAAACA
Long non-coding RNA from Paramormyrops kingsleyae, 523 nucleotides. RefSeq lists it as uncharacterized. Lineage: Eukaryota; Metazoa; Chordata; Actinopteri; Osteoglossiformes; Mormyridae. The record is from RefSeq and is a predicted model, not a curated record.